GUGGUACGCGAGCUGGGUUUAGAACGUCGUGAGACAGUUCGGUCCCUAUCUGCCGUGGGCGCUGGAGAACUGAGGGGGGCUGCUCCUAGUACGAGAGGACCGGAGUGGACGCAUCACUGGUGUUCGGGUUGUCAUGCCAAUGGCACUGCCCGGUAGCUAAAUGCGGAAGAGAUAAGUGCUGAAAGCAUCUAAGCACGAAACUUGCCCCGAGAUGAGUUCUCCCUGACUCCUUGAGAGUCCUGAAGGAACGUUGAAGACGACGACGUUGAUAGGCCGGGUGUGUAAGCGCAGCGAUGCGUUGAGCUAACCGGUACUAAUGAACCGUGAGGCUUAACCUUACAACGCCGAAG
RNAcentral lists this ribosomal RNA (350 nucleotides) under Escherichia coli. RNAcentral's name for it is "bacterial LSU rRNA". It matches the Rfam family "Bacterial large subunit ribosomal RNA", at positions 2593 to 2925 of the family's 2925-position model. Lineage: Bacteria; Pseudomonadati; Pseudomonadota; Gammaproteobacteria; Enterobacterales; Enterobacteriaceae. The record is from RNAcentral.